Long non-coding RNA from Lactuca sativa (garden lettuce), 592 nucleotides. RefSeq lists it as uncharacterized. Lineage: Eukaryota; Viridiplantae; Streptophyta; Magnoliopsida; Asterales; Asteraceae. The record is from RefSeq and is a predicted model, not a curated record.
ACGAAUUUUUCCCAUAUAAGCAAGCACCAAUUCAUUCACAAUGAAGAGAGAUAAUUUCUAAGAAGAAAAAAAAUAAGAAGCCUAUACAGGUGACGAGAUUUCCAUAUCUAAAUCAUCAACAUAGCAUCAGAGUGAAGACAUUGAACAAAUUUUCCAACGUUACCCUCCUAGCUACACACAAGACAAAACUUCAUCUCAACUGUACACAUGUUUGUAAUUGAGUGGAAUUACAUAAAAAAAAUCAAGCUAAACAAUCCCAUAAAUGGUGGGGUUUAUGAUGUUUUGCUUAUGGUUUUGGUGUUUCAGCUACAACAAUAUCAAUGGAGGGAUUGAAGGUAUCUAAUGCAGAAUUGGUGUUGUAUUUCUAACCAUCAAAGUGCAUCAGAGGACAUCUUUUGUGAACUAAGUUCAAUUCUUUUUAAUAUAUAGUCUUAAUUUAAUGUAAUUUAUUGAACUUGACUAUGUUUUCAUGUAAUUCUAGAUCAUUGGUUAAAAAUAGUAUAUACAUGAAAGUAAAUUGAUGUCUAUACAUCAAUCGUUAAAAAAAAAAAACAUGAUGCCAAUACAAAUAAUAAUACAAUAUACAAUAUAA